CCUGAGUAGAAGGAAACACACAGCUCCCCCAGAGCAGAGGGGCCCGCGAGAGGGAAAGCUGGCCCAGGCCCAGGGCAGGCUCGCCUCUGACUCUGCAGGGACAUUCUUUCCUCCCAGCCAGCAGGGAACUUCUGGAACUUCUAAACAGCACAUCCUCGAGCCAGCCCAGGCCCCCACGGCAUCCUGCACCCCAGGUUCACAAGCUUUUUAGUGAAACCAGAGCACCACAGCCAGCUCUAGCCCGGAGGGAAAGUAAGAGGAUGUUUUUGCAGCAGGUGUCCUUUCUCCUGUAACUACUAAACUGUCGCCCCUCACUAAAGAGGAUGCCUUUGCCUACGCUGUCCCCACCCCUUGAAGCAAGCUUCCUCCUCUAUUGGGAUAGGUAACUUUUUUUUCUUCAAUAAUUCUUUAAUGUUAUAAAAUACCUGCCAGUGUUCACAUUUCCCUGAAUGAUUUUUAAUUCUUUUUCCUUUUUUAGUAUGUUUGUUUGAAGUAGGAAUCUAAACAAGAUCUAUAUAUUGUGAUUAAUUGAUAUGUCUCUGAAGUCUC
Molecule: long non-coding RNA, 549 nt
Filed under: Pongo abelii (Sumatran orangutan)
Lineage: Eukaryota; Metazoa; Chordata; Mammalia; Primates; Hominidae
Description: lincRNA
Source: RNAcentral